RNAcentral lists this ribosomal RNA (481 nucleotides) under uncultured bacterium. RNAcentral's name for it is "partial 16S ribosomal RNA". It matches the Rfam family "Bacterial small subunit ribosomal RNA", at positions 29 to 507 of the family's 1533-position model. The record is from RNAcentral.
AUGAACGCUGGCGGCGUGCCUAAUACAUGCAAGUCGAACGCUUCACUUCGGUGAAGAGUGGCGAACGGGUGAGUAAUACAUAAGUAACCUGGCAUCUACAGGGGGAUAACUGAUGGAAACGUCAGCUAAGACCGCAUAGGUGUAGAGAUCGCAUGAACUCUAUAUGAAAAGUGCUACGGGACUGGUAGAUGAUGGACUUAUGGCGCAUUAGCUUGUUGGUAGGGUAACGGCCUACCAAGGCGACGAUGCGUAGCCGACCUGAGAGGGUGACCGGCCACACUGGGACUGAGACACGGCCCAGACUCCUACGGGAGGCAGCAGUAGGGAAUUUUCGGCAAUGGGGGAAACCCUGGCCGAGCAACGCCGCGUGAAGGAAGAAGUAAUUCGUUAUGUAAACUUCUGUCAUAGAGGAAGAACGGUGGAUAUAGGGAAUGAUAUCCAAGUGACGGUACUCUAUAAGAAAGCCACGGCUAACUACGUG